This 433-nucleotide ribosomal RNA is filed under the name uncultured bacterium. RNAcentral describes it as "partial 16S ribosomal RNA". It matches the Rfam family "Bacterial small subunit ribosomal RNA", at positions 29 to 507 of the family's 1533-position model. The record is from RNAcentral.
AACGAACGCUGGCGGCAGGCUUAACACAUGCAAGUCGAACGCACCUUCCGGGGUGAGUGGCUGACGGGUGAGUAACGCGUGGGAAUCUACCCUUCUCUACGGGCUAUGUCUGGGGAAUUGGAAUUAGUACCGUAUACGUCUAGCGGGUGAAAGCUUUUUCGGGGUAGGGUGAGCCCGCGUUGGAUUAGCGAGUUGGUGGGGUAAAGGCCUACCAAGGCGACGAUCCAUAGCUGGUCUUAGAGGAGGAUCAGCCACAUUGGGACUGAGACACGACCCAAACUCCAACGGGAGGCAGCAGUGGGGAAUAUUGGACAAUGGGCGCAAGCCUGAUCCAGCCAUGCCGCGUGAGUGAUGAAGGCCCUAGGGUUGUAAAGCUCUUUCAGUGGGGACGAUAAUGACGGUACCCACAGAAGAAGCCCCGGCUAACUUCGUG